RNAcentral lists this ribosomal RNA (440 nucleotides) under uncultured bacterium. RNAcentral's name for it is "partial 16S ribosomal RNA". It matches the Rfam family "Bacterial small subunit ribosomal RNA", at positions 338 to 795 of the family's 1533-position model. The record is from RNAcentral.
CCUACGGGAGGCAGCAGUGGGGAAUAUUGCACAAUGGGGGAAACCCUGAUGCAGCGACGCCGCGUGAGGGAAGAAGUAUCUCGGUAUGUAAAGCUCUAUCAGCAGGGAAGUAAAUGACGGUACCUGAUCAAUAAGCUCCGGCUAACUACGUGCCAACAGCAGCGGUAAUACGUAGGGGGCAAGCGUUAUCCGGAUUUACUGGGUGUUAAGGGAGCGUAGACGGCAGAGCAAGUCUGAAGUGAAAUGCCGGGGCUUAACCCUGGAACUGCUUUUGAAACUGUGAAGCUUGAGUGCAGGAGAGGUAAGUGGAAUUCCUGGUGUAGCGGUGAAAUGCGUAGAUAUUAGGAGGAACACCAGUUGCGAAGGCAGCUUACUGAACUGUAACUGACGUUGAGGCUCGAAAGCGUGGGGAGCAAACAGGAUUAGAUACCCUGGUAGUC